AAAUGAAUAGACGGGGGCCCGCACAAGCGGAGGAACAUGUGGUUUAAUUCGAUGAUACGCGAGGAACCUUACCCGGGCUUGAAAUGCAGAAGACGAAGGAUGAAAGUUCUUUUCCAGCAAUGGCUUCUGUGUAGGUGCUGCAUGGUUGUCGUCAGCUCGUGCCGUGAGGUGUCGGCUUAAGUGCCAUAACGAGCGCAACCCUUAUCAUUAGUUACUAACAGGUUAAGCUGAGGACUCUAGUGAGACUGCCACCGUAAGGUGUGAGGAAGGUGGGGAUGACGUCAAAUCAGCACGGCCCUUACGUCCGGGGCGACACACGUGUUACAAUGGGGGGUACAGAGGGUUGCUACCUAGUGAUAGGAUGCUAAUCUCUAAAGCCUCUCUCAGUUCGGAUUGGAGUCUGCAACUCGACUCCAUGAAGCUGGAUUCGCUAGUAAUCGCGCAUCAGCCAUGGCGCGGUGAAUACGUUCCCGGGCCUUGUACACACCGCCCGU
RNAcentral lists this ribosomal RNA (494 nucleotides) under uncultured bacterium. RNAcentral's name for it is "bacterial SSU rRNA". It matches the Rfam family "Bacterial small subunit ribosomal RNA", at positions 903 to 1397 of the family's 1533-position model. The record is from RNAcentral.